CUAGGACACAUAUACAAGAUAUCUUCUGGGAUUAACCCAGGAAUGGACUUAGUAUGUUCUCAAUUAUAAACAAUUUCAGCUUUGAUAGACUUUGAAAUAAGAAUGCUGUGGCCAUUAGAAGAAUGGACAACCUCCUUCUUGACAAGUUUUUCACAUUUCUGCAAAUAACAUUUUCAUUCUCCCAAAUUCAAUUUUCACUUCUUCAUUUUCUGUACUGCUUUGCACAGGAAGAGAUAGCUGUUAAAGAAGAUCAUUCUACUUGGAGCCACUCUUAUGACCACAGGUGUAUAAACAGGACAGUGAGGGCAGCAUCACCAGUUCACCUGUGGUUUGGAAGCAUCUACCUUAACUAA
Molecule: long non-coding RNA, 353 nt
Filed under: Mustela putorius furo (domestic ferret)
Lineage: Eukaryota; Metazoa; Chordata; Mammalia; Carnivora; Mustelidae
Description: lncRNA (ENSMPUG00000025242.1)
Source: RNAcentral